This 72-nucleotide small nucleolar RNA is filed under the name Myotis lucifugus (little brown bat). RNAcentral's name for it is "Small nucleolar RNA SNORD112 (ENSMLUG00000030261.1)". Lineage: Eukaryota; Metazoa; Chordata; Mammalia; Chiroptera; Vespertilionidae. The record is from RNAcentral.
UGGACCAUUAAUGAGAGAAUGUCAUGAGCCAAGGAUUAUGACUGAUCAAAUUCUGCAUAUCAGAGGUACAAU